Phalacrocorax carbo (great cormorant) is the source of this 428-nucleotide non-coding RNA. The record is from RefSeq and is a predicted model, not a curated record. Lineage: Eukaryota; Metazoa; Chordata; Aves; Suliformes; Phalacrocoracidae.
GAGUCUGAAAGGAUUGAAGAAUUAUGAAACUGUAACGAGGGAGGCCUGUUCUUGGCAAACACUUACAUGAUUCAAAUGCUGGGGAAUUCGAAGAAGCUGCAUUUGAGAGCAGUAAUGAGCUGCCCUGGCAGGACUACAAAGGGCUUUGGAGGAGCAGGUACCGGAGGAUGAGACAACCCGAAGAGAUAAUCAUCACACGCUGACAAUCACUUGCCAUCAAUUAUCCACACGCCGCUGCUGUCAAUGAAUCACAACCCCUACCUGGUGGGAGAGUCACUGCUGGUGCCACUGAGGCAUUUCGCCAAUAAUGUAUAACGGGGGAGGAUAUUAGACGCUAUUUUCAGACAGGCUGAGAGAUUGAUAUGCAAGCCAAAGGGAAAUGCAUUAAACUAUUUAACUGCCUGGAAAUCCAGCAUAAUGAACAUCCA